This 254-nucleotide ribosomal RNA is filed under the name uncultured bacterium. RNAcentral's name for it is "partial 16S ribosomal RNA". It matches the Rfam family "Bacterial small subunit ribosomal RNA", at positions 524 to 776 of the family's 1533-position model. The record is from RNAcentral.
UACGGGGGGAGCAAGCGUUGUUCGGAUUUACUGGGCGUAAAGGGCGCGUAGGCGGCCACCGCAAGUCGGUUGUGAAAUCUCUGGGCUUAACCCAGAAAGGUCAACCGAUACUGCGGGGCUAGAGGGCAGAAGGGGCAACUGGAAUUCUCGGUGUAGCGGUGAAAUGCGUAGAUAUCGAGAGGAACACCUGCGGCGAAGGCGGGUUGCUGGGCUGACACUGACGCUGAAGCGCGAAAGCUAGGGGAGCGAACGGG